GAUCAUGGCUCAGGAUGAACGCUAGCGGCAGGCUUAACACAUGCAAGUCGGAGGGGCAGCAUAAUGGAUAGCAAUAUCUAUGGUGGCGACCGGCGCACGGGUGCGUAACGCGUAUGCAACCUACCUUUAACAGGGGGAUAACGACUGAGAAAUUGGUACUAAUACCCCAUAAUAUCAUAGAAGGCAUCUUUUANGGUUGAAAAUUCCGAUGGUUAGAGAUGGGCAUGCGUUG
RNAcentral lists this ribosomal RNA (232 nucleotides) under uncultured bacterium. Its description in RNAcentral is "partial 16S ribosomal RNA". It matches the Rfam family "Bacterial small subunit ribosomal RNA", at positions 15 to 238 of the family's 1533-position model. The record is from RNAcentral.